This 768-nucleotide ribosomal RNA is filed under the name Cyclobacteriaceae bacterium. RNAcentral describes it as "bacterial SSU rRNA". It matches the Rfam family "Bacterial small subunit ribosomal RNA", at positions 1 to 766 of the family's 1533-position model. Lineage: Bacteria; Pseudomonadati; Bacteroidota; Cytophagia; Cytophagales; Cyclobacteriaceae. The record is from RNAcentral.
ACAAUGGAGAGUUUGAUCCUGGCUCAGGAUGAACGCUAGCGGCAGGCCUAAUACAUGCAAGUCGAACGGCAUCCCGGUGCUUGCACCGGGAGCGAGUGGCGCACGGGUGCGUAACGCGUAUGCAACCUACCCUGUACUGGGGAAUAGCCUGUGGAAACAUAGAUUAAUACCCCAUAAUAUUAUUUGUCUACCUGGACGAAUGAUUAAAGUUCCGACGGUACGGGAUGGGCAUGCGUCUGAUUAGCUAGAUGGUGAGGUAACGGCUCACCAUGGCGACGAUCAGUAGCGGGUCUGAGAGGAUGAUCCGCCACACUGGUACUGAGACACGGACCAGACUCCUACGGGAGGCAGCAGUAGGGAAUAUUGGUCAAUGGGCGAGAGCCUGAACCAGCCAUGCCGCGUGAAGGAAGACGGCCUUCUGGGUUGUAAACUUCUUUUACCAGGGAACAAAUGUAUCCAUGCGUGGGUAUUUGAGUGUACCUGGAGAAUAAGCACCGGCUAACUCCGUGCCAGCAGCCGCGGUAAUACGGAGGGUGCAAGCGUUGUCCGGAUUUAUUGGGUUUAAAGGGUGCGUAGGCGGGACAAUAAGUCAGUGGUGAAAGCCCACAGCUCAACUGUGGAACUGCCAUUGAAACUGUUGUUCUUGAGUACGGAAUAGGUAAGCGGAAUUUAUGGUGUAGCGGUGAAAUGCAUAGAUACCAUAAAGAACACCGAUAGCGAAGGCAGCUUACUGGGCCGUUACUGACGCUGAGGCACGAAAGCGUGGGG